UACAGAGGUCUCAAGCGUUGUUCGGAUUUAUUGGGCGUAAAGCGCGUGUAGGCGGCCACACAGGUCCGUUGUGAAAACUCGAGGCUUAACCUCGAGACGUCGAUGGAAACCGUAUGGCUAGAGUCCGGAAGAGGAGAGUGGAAUUCCUGGUGUAGCGGUGAAAUGCGCAGAUAUCAGGAAGAACACCGGUGGCGAAGGCGGGUCUCUGGGCCGUAACUGACGCUGAGGAGCGAAAGCAUGGGGAGCGAACAGG
RNAcentral lists this ribosomal RNA (253 nucleotides) under uncultured bacterium. RNAcentral's name for it is "partial 16S ribosomal RNA". It matches the Rfam family "Bacterial small subunit ribosomal RNA", at positions 524 to 776 of the family's 1533-position model. The record is from RNAcentral.